RNAcentral lists this long non-coding RNA (1082 nucleotides) under Triticum aestivum (bread wheat). RNAcentral's name for it is "long non-coding RNA (TAES_LNC001909)". Lineage: Eukaryota; Viridiplantae; Streptophyta; Magnoliopsida; Poales; Poaceae. The record is from RNAcentral.
AAAUGCAAAGUAUACUUAUUAUAUACUAGUAGUUAGGCUCAUUUGGGUGUACUAUUAGUGUUUAAAUACGUGAGUAUUGAGCAUGGCACUCCUAUCGUGUAGUUCUAGAUCCGCCACUGGUUUCUGGAUGCGAGCCUAAACACACAUUAGUUACUCAAAAUACAUGCCCAUGGCUAACACUGGAAAUCCUGGGAAAUCAACACCACACCACAACAAGUGGAUGGCAGCUAACAUUUCCGUCCAGUGCGAUGGAAACCCCAGGAAACCACUGCCACACCACAUCAAAGGGGAUGGUAGCUAAACUUUCUCUUCAGUUUGUUCCGCAUAACGAAAUGCUUUCACAGCAAAUGCACACCUACUGCAUAUAUAAUGCAUAUCUGACACCCCAUCUCACUUCAGAAUGGCAGCACCUCGAUCAUGAAAUCUAGCAGCUCACCUCGGUUCCCCCUCGUAGAAAUCACCUCGUAUGCUUCGCCCAGAGAGUCAAAAGUAGUACCAAAAGCUGGUGUGAUCACGUUUUCAGCUGGGUUCUCUCCACAACACCUGGCUGCCUUCUCGAAUGCACUGAUUUGAUUUGGGCACGGUGUUCUGCUUCCUGCGGCAGCACCAAUCCUAAGCCUGCAAGCACAAACAUACAUUGCAUAAAUUUUCUGAAUGCACAGAGCAAUCAGCCCGCAAACACAGGCACAAGUAGCAUAAAUUUUCAGAAUGCAGAGAGCAAUCAGCCUGCAAACACAGGCACAUAUAGCAUGAAUUUUCUGAAUACAGAGAGCAAUCAGCCUGCAAAAACAGGCACAUAUAGCAUGAAUUUUCUGAAUGCAGAGAUCAAUCAGCCUGCAAGCACAGUAUAGCAUGCUUGUUCUGAAUGCAGAGACCAAUCAGCACUUGCUCUAACUGUAGGAUUUCUUCACUCAUGACGCUUCCUAAAUUGCCCUUCACUAACCUCUUGUUACACCCCGACGCUUAGGGAUUCAGCUUCCCCAUUGAUAGCAUGCUUGUUCUGAAUGCAGAGACCAAGCAGCACUUGCUCUAACUGUAGGAUUUCUUCACUCAUGACGCUUCCUAAAUUUCCCUUCACUAAC